ACUACUCGUGUGUUGCGUUAGUACUUUUUGGAUUGCGAACGUAGCAAAUGCACUACGAACGAGUAUAUUGUUCGUUUACAAUCUCGAAGUCUCCAGUUGGAGACUUUUUGUGUUGUUCGAAUUGCUUUUGGUUUCUUCGCACUACGUUCUGUGAAUAGGGAUGGUUAAGAAGUGCAGAAUUGUGUGCAGAAAAUACUUUUUGUUUAUGCAAAAAAGUACCACAUUAAUAUCGUGGAGUGGAUUAGAAAAACGUCCACUCACAGAAGAGAUGCGAAUGUUCAUGUUCAUGCAUUGCGAGCUCUCUUAACCAGCUAGAAGUUAAAACACCUGAUCAACUUUUUUGAAGAUCUAAAUAUCACUGUUCCAGUUCUUGCCACAAUGACUGCUAAUGACAUUUUUAACCUCACACAACAAAUGAAAAUUGGAGAAAAAAUUCUCUUCAAAUAUUAUUUGGAAAAAUGGCGAUACGAGAACGGACUGCCGACAAUCGGUGAAAACUAUUUUAGCGAAUGUGAAUUGAAAAAUUCUGAAGAAUUGGCUUUACAAACUUUAAAUAAAAUGAAUAUUAAUUGAAAGAAUUAAAAAAAAAAAUCUAUAA
Molecule: long non-coding RNA, 598 nt
Organism: Lucilia cuprina (Australian sheep blowfly)
Lineage: Eukaryota; Metazoa; Arthropoda; Insecta; Diptera; Calliphoridae
Exons: 4
Source: RefSeq, a predicted model, not a curated record